UUUGUACUCGUCGGCUCGAGAGUAGACGCGUGGCGGCGUGACUUAACACAUGCAAGUACGAACGACGAACUAUUGGAUCGAGUAUUCGUCAAGUGAGGUGGGAAAGUGGCGGACGGGUGAGUAACGCGUGAGCAAUCUGCCUUGGAGUGGGGAAUAACGGCUGGAAACAGCCGCUAAUACCGCAUGAUACAGCUGGGAGGCAUCUCCCUGGCUGUCAAAGAUUUAUCGCUCUGAGAUGAGCUCGCGUCUGAUUAGCUAGUUGGCGGGGUAACGGCCCACCAAGGCGACGAUCAGUAGCCGGACUGAGAGGUUGGCCGGCCACAUUGGGACUGAGACACGGCCCAGACUCCUACGGGAGGCAGCAGUGGGGAAUAUUGGGCAAUGGGCGCAAGCCUGACCCAGCAACGCCGCGUGAAGGAAGAAGGCUUUCGGGUUGUAAACUUCUUUUGUCAGGGACGAAGCAAGUAACGGUACCUGACGAAUAAGCCACGGCUAACUACGUG
This 503-nucleotide ribosomal RNA is filed under the name uncultured Oscillospiraceae bacterium. RNAcentral's name for it is "bacterial SSU rRNA". It matches the Rfam family "Bacterial small subunit ribosomal RNA", at positions 1 to 507 of the family's 1533-position model. Lineage: Bacteria; Bacillati; Bacillota; Clostridia; Eubacteriales; Oscillospiraceae. The record is from RNAcentral.